RNAcentral lists this transfer RNA (62 nucleotides) under Cantacader sp. RNAcentral describes it as "tRNA-Asp". Lineage: Eukaryota; Metazoa; Arthropoda; Insecta; Hemiptera; Tingidae. The record is from RNAcentral.
AAAAAGUUAGUUUAUAAAAAACAUUAAUUUGUCAAAUUAAAAAAAUUAUAUAAUACUUUUUU